CGAAACCAUCACGACUGUUGCUCAGUUCGCUACGGUGAAUGCGUUUAUUUUUCUCUUGUCGAUUCCAUCAAGCUAGACGGUACGUCGGCAUAGAAUUAAAACGGUGGUGGUUCGACGUUACUCUAGCUAGAUCAAAAUUCAACGACCAAAAGAAAAAUUCUUUUUUCGUCAUUUCGAUUCGUAUCUUACGCGAUUCGUAUAACUGCGUUUAUAGAGAAUUGUCUAUGCAAACAAUUUUGGAAGGAAAGGAGAUUCUUAAUAUAUUUCGGUAUAUCAAGAGUCGCAUAUGCUUCAGAAGAUGGAUGUUAAUUUGGGAAGACUUUGGUAUCUUGUUAUCUCUAAUGAUGGAAUAUCCCAUUCCUAAAUUGAAUUUCCAAUCAAUGAAAGAAAAAUCAAGAAUAACGAGUUGAAAAAACGAUCGCAUAAAUCUAUAAGUGCAAACUGAUAUUCGAUAAUAAAUGUCGUAAAAUGUUCGUCUAUCGAAAUUAAUUUUAAAUGGCUAAUACGAUUUGCAAAUAGGAGUUCAUCGGAAUAAAAAAAUUUUUUUGCAAAAAUUAUAAAAAAUAUAUAAAAAUAAAAUAACAUAUAAGAUAUAAGAUGUAUAAAGAUAUACAAA
This is a long non-coding RNA of Apis laboriosa (Himalayan honeybee), 616 nucleotides long. RefSeq lists it as uncharacterized. NCBI's taxonomy places the organism in Eukaryota, Metazoa, Arthropoda, Insecta, Hymenoptera, Apidae. The transcript has 3 exons. The record is from RefSeq and is a predicted model, not a curated record.